Molecule: non-coding RNA, 818 nt
Organism: Oryctolagus cuniculus (rabbit)
Lineage: Eukaryota; Metazoa; Chordata; Mammalia; Lagomorpha; Leporidae
Source: RefSeq, a predicted model, not a curated record
ACCUCGUGUACCAGUGUACCCUGGGGCCCAACCCAGCAUGUGGAUUGGGGUACGGGGUACACCUCGUGUACCAGUGUACCCUGCGCCCAGCCCAGCAUGUGGCUCACGGUAGGUGCUCAGUGAUGUUUUAAUUGAAGGACUCCACGAAUGGAUGGAUGAACGAGUGAGCGAGUGACUGCCCCCACAGCAACCUCACGCUGGGCCCCUUGACUGUGACACGGGCGGGCGGCCCUGGGCACGAGGCCCCGCCCGCCCCACACAUGCCCAUAUAUGGACGUGAGGCAGGCACUCAGGCCCUUGUCUGUGAGGUCUCAGGCCUCUCUGACCUCACAGUGCCCAGGGGGGCCCCCGUGUCUAUAAGAGGCCCAGGCCUGGGCCCCUGGCUCACAGCCCACCAAGAUCCACCUGCUCACAGGUUGGCUGGCUCAACCAGGGUUGUGCCCCGAGCUCUGAGCCAAGUCUCGGCCAAGUCCAUCCGGCACCAUGGUCAGAUACAGAUGCUGCCGCAGCCAGAGCCGGAGCAGAUGCCGCCGCCGGAGACGGAGAUGCCGCAGACGCAGGAGGCGGUGCUGCCAGAGGCGAAGAGUCAGGAAGUGCUGUCGCCGCACAUACACCCUCAGGUGUAGACGAUACUAAACGCACAGAACAGCAGACCCACCAGACUCCUGCCUGAGAAUUCUACCAGACUUCAAGACCCUCUCGUCACACGCCAUCUUCAAGACUUCAAGACCCGCUCUUGACAAUGCCAUCGUCCCAUGACACACAGGAGCCUGCUAAGGAACAAUGCCGCCUGUCAAUAAAUGUUGAGAUCAUCCCAA